This 670-nucleotide ribosomal RNA is filed under the name Alcaligenes sp. HPC 897. RNAcentral's name for it is "bacterial SSU rRNA". It matches the Rfam family "Bacterial small subunit ribosomal RNA", at positions 37 to 703 of the family's 1533-position model. Lineage: Bacteria; Pseudomonadati; Pseudomonadota; Betaproteobacteria; Burkholderiales; Alcaligenaceae. The record is from RNAcentral.
UCACGGAUAUCCGUAGGGCGGGACGUCGGCCCGUGGAGUUUGUUCGGGCUGGUGGCGAGUGGCGAACGGGUGAGUAAUGUAUCGGAACGUGCCCAGUAGCGGGGGAUAACUACGCGAAAGCGUAGCUAAUACCGCAUACGCCCUACGGGGGAAAGCAGGGGAUCUUCGGACCUUGCACUAUUGGAGCGGCCGAUAUCGGAUUAGCUAGUUGGUGGGGUAACGGCCUACCAAGGCGACGAUCCGUAGCUGGUUUGAGAGGACGACCAGCCACACUGGGACUGAGACACGGCCCAGACUCCUACGGGAGGCAGCAGUGGGGAAUUUUGGACAAUGGGGGAAACCCUGAUCCAGCCAUCCCGCGUGUGCGAUGAAGGCCUUCGGGUUGUAAAGCACUUUUGGCAGGAAAGAAACGUCGCGGGCUAAUACCUCGCGAAACUGACGGUACCUGCAGAAUAAGCACCGGCUAACUACGUGCCAGCAGCCGCGGUAAUACGUAGGGUGCAAGCGUUAAUCGGAAUUACUGGGCGUAAAGCGUGCGCAGGCGGUUCGGAAAGAAAGAUGUGAAAUCCCAGAGCUUAACUUUGGAACUGCAUUUUUAACUACCGGGCUAGAGUGUGUCAGAGGGAGGUGGAAUUCCGCGUGUAGCAGUGAAAUGCGUAGAUAUGCGGAG